CAGCCGCGGUAAUACGGGGGAUGCAAGCGUUAUCCGGAAUCAUUGGGCGUAAAGCGCCUGUAGGUUGUUUAAUAAGUCUGUUGUUAAAGACUAGGGCUUAACCCUAGAAAAGCAAUGGAAACUACUAGACUAGAGUAUGGCAGGGGUAGAGGGAAUUUCUAGUGUAGCGGUGAAAUGCGUAGAUAUUAGAAAGAACACCGGUGGCGAAAGCGCUCUACUGGACCAUUACUGACACUCAGAGGCGAAAGCUAGGGUAGCAAAAGGGAUUAGAUACCCCUGUAGUCCUAGCCGUAAACGAUGGAUACUACAUGUUGUGCAUUAUGUACAGUAUGGUAGCUAACGCGUUAAGUAUCCCGCCUGGGGAGUACGCUCGCAAGGGUGAAACUCAAAGGAAUUGACGGGGGCCCGCACAAGCGGUGGAGCAUGUGGUUUAAUUCGAUGCAACGCGAAGAACCUUACCAGGACUUGACAUACUACAAAUUCUUUUGAGAAAAAGAAGUGCCUUCGGGAAUGUAGAUACAGGUGGUGCAUGGCUGUCGUCAGCUCGUGUCGUGAGAUGUUGGGUUAAGUCCCGCAACGAGCGCAACCCUUAUUUUUAGUUACCAAUUCGUUGGGUUCUCUAGAAAGACUGCCGGUGACAAACCGGAGGAAGGUGAGGAUGACGUCAAGUCAGCAUGCCCCUUAUGUCCUGGGCUACACACGUGCUACAAUGGUUAAGACAAAGAGUCGCGAGCUCGUGAGAGUCAGCUAAUCUCUAUAAACUUAGCCCAAGUUCAGAUUGUAGGCUGCAACUCGCCUACGUGA
This 804-nucleotide ribosomal RNA is filed under the name uncultured marine bacterium. RNAcentral's name for it is "bacterial SSU rRNA". It matches the Rfam family "Bacterial small subunit ribosomal RNA", at positions 512 to 1323 of the family's 1533-position model. The record is from RNAcentral.